RNAcentral lists this ribosomal RNA (3265 nucleotides) under Massilia sp. YIM B02443. RNAcentral's name for it is "partial 23S ribosomal RNA". It matches the Rfam family "Bacterial large subunit ribosomal RNA". Lineage: Bacteria; Pseudomonadati; Pseudomonadota; Betaproteobacteria; Burkholderiales; Oxalobacteraceae. The record is from RNAcentral.
GGACAAGUGAAUAAGUGCACAUGGUGGAUGCCUUGGCGAUUACAGGCGAUGAAGGACGUAGUAGCUUGCGAUAAGCUGCGGGGAGCUAGCAAACGAGCUUUGAUCCGCAGAUUUCCGAAUGGGGAAACCCGGCCUUUUAGGUCAUUGCAUACUGAAUACAUAGGUAUGCAAAGCGAACGCGGCGAACUGAAACAUCUAAGUAGCUGCAGGAAAAGAAAUCAACCGAGAUUCCCAAAGUAGUGGCGAGCGAAAUGGGAUGAGCCUGUAUGUGAUAGUCGGACUGAUAGUGGAAGCCUCUGGAAAUAGGCGCCAUAGUGGGUGAUAGCCCCGUACACGAAAUCAGACCGGUGGUACUAAGCANAAAUCAACCGAGAUUCCCAAAGUAGUGGCGAGCGAAAUGGGAAGAGCCUGUACGUGAUAGUCGACUAGAUAGUGGAACAACCUGGAAAUGUUGGCCAUAGAGGGUGAUAGCCCCUUACACGAAAUCUAGACGGUGGUACUAAGCGUACGACAAGUAGGGCGGGACACGAGAAAUCCUGUCUGAACAUGGGGGGACCAUCCUCCAAGNGCGCCAUAGUGGGUGAUAGCCCCGUACACGAAAUCAGACCGGUGGUACUAAGCAUACGACAAGUAGGGCGGGACACGAGAAAUCCUGUCUGAACAUGGGGGGACCAUCCUCCAAGGCUAAAUACUCGUAAUCGACCGAUAGUGAACCAGUACCGUGAGGGAAAGGCGAAAAGAACCCCGGGAGGGGAGUGAAAUAGAUCCUGAAACCGUGUGCAUACAAACAGUCGGAGCCUCUUCGUGGGGUGACGGCGUACCUUUUGUAUAAUGGGUCAGCGACUUACAUUCAGUGGCGAGGUUAACCGAAUAGGGGAGCCGUAGAGAAAUCGAGUCCGAACAGGGCGACAGUCGCUGGGUGUAGACCCGAAACCAAGUGAUCUACCCAUGGCCAGGAUGAAGGUGCGGUAACACGCCCUGGAGGUCCGAACCCACUAAUGUUGAAAAAUUAGGGGAUGAGCUGUGGGUAGGGGUGAAAGGCUAAACAAACUUGGAAAUAGCUGGUUCUCUCCGAAAACUAUUUAGGUAGUGCCUCAAGUAUCACCAUCGGGGGUAGAGCACUGUUAUGGCUAGGGGGUCAUUGCGACUUACCAAACCAUUGCAAACUCCGAAUACCGAUGAGUGCGAGCUUGGGAGACAGACAUCGGGUGCUAACGUCCGGUGUCAAGAGGGAAACAACCCAGACCGCCAGCUAAGGUCCCAAAGAUUGGCUAAGUGGAAAACGAAGUGGGAAGGCUAAAACAGUCAGGAUGUUGGCUUAGAAGCAGCCACCAUUUAAAGAAAGCGUAAUAGCUCACUGAUCGAGUCGUCCUGCGCGGAAGAUGUAACGGGGCUAAGCCAGUCACCGAAGCUGCGGAUAUAUUUCUCGUGAUUUAUCACUUGAUCUAUNNNGGGAAGGCUAAAACAGUCAGGAUGUUGGCUUAGAAGCAGCCACCAUUUAAAGAAAGCGUAAUAGCUCACUGAUCGAGUCGUCCUGCGCGGAAGAUGUAACGGGGCUAAGCCAGUCACCGAAGCUGCGGAUAUAUUUCUCGUGAUUUAUCACUUGAUCUAUAUGGUAGGAGAGCGUUCUGUAAGCCUGCGAAGGUGUCUUGUAAAGGAUGCUGGAGGUAUCAGAAGUGCGAAUGCUGACAUGAGUAGCGAUAAUGCGGGUGAAAAGCCCGCACGCCGUAAGCCCAAGGUUUCCUGUUCAACGUUCAUCGGAGCAGGGUGAGUCGGCCCCUAAGGCGAGGCAGAGAUGCGUAGCUGAUGGGAAGCAGGUUAAUAUUCCUGCACCGUCGUAUGAUGCGAUGGGGGGACGGAUCGCGGAAGGUUGUCUGACUGUUGGAAUAGUCAGUUUUUGACUCAUAGAAGGUGCUUAGGCAAAUCCGGGCACGUAAUUCAAGGGGUUGAGACGAGCGGCCAUGCGCNNNAGUUUUUGACUCAUAGAAGGUGCUUAGGCAAAUCCGGGCACGUAAUUCAAGGGGUUGAGACGAGCGCUCUUGUAGCGCGAAGCAAUCGGAAGUGGUUCCAAGAAAAGCCUCUAAGCUUCAGUCAUACGAGACCGUACCGCAAACCGACACAGGUGGGCGAGAUGAGUAUUCUAAGGCGCUUGAGAGAACUCGGGAGAAGGAACUCGGCAAAUUGGUACCGUAACUUCGGGAUAAGGUACGCCCUAGUAGUUUGACCACUUUACUGUGGAAGGAUGAACGGGUUGCAAUAAAAUGGUGGCUGCGACUGUUUAAUAAAAACACAGCACUCUGCAAACACGAAAGUGGACGUAUAGGGUGUGACGCCUGCCCGGUGCUGGAAGAUUAAAUGAUGGGGUGCAAGCUCUUGAUUGAAGUCCCAGUAAACGGCGGCCGUAACUAUAACGGUCCUAAGGUAGCGAAAUUCCUUGUCGGGUAAGUUCCGACCUGCACGAAUGGCGUAACGAUGGCCACACUGUCUCCUCCCGAGACUCAGCGAAGUUGAAAUGUUUGUGAUGAUGCAAUCUACCCGCGGCUAGACGGAAAGACCCCAUGAACCUUUACUGUAGCUUUGCAUUGGACUUUGAAUCAAUCUGUGUAGGAUAGGUGGGAGGCUUUGAAGUAGGGACGCCAGUUCCUAUGGAGCCAUCCUUGAAAUACCACCCUGGUUCAUUUGAGGUUCUAACCUUGGUCCGUUAUCCGGAUCGGGGACAGUGCAUGGUAGGCAGUUUGACUGGGGCGGUCUCCUCCUAAAGUGUAACGGAGGAGUUCGAAGGUACGCUAGGUACGGUCGGACAUCGUGCUAAUAGUGCAAUGGCAUAAGCGUGCUUAACUGCGAGACCGACAAGUCGAGCAGGUACGAAAGUAGGACAUAGUGAUCCGGUGGUUCUGUAUGGAAGGGCCAUCGCUCAACGGAUAAAAGGUACUCUGGGGAUAACAGGCUGAUUCCUCCCAAGAGUUCAUAUCGACGGGGGAGUUUGGCACCUCGAUGUCGGCUCAUCACAUCCUGGGGCUGUAGCCGGUCCCAAGGGUAUGGCUGUUCGCCAUUUAAAGUGGUACGUGAGCUGGGUUUAAAACGUCGUGAGACAGUUUGGUCCCUAUCUGCCGUGGGCGUUGGAAAUUUGAAGGGGGCUGCUCCUAGUACGAGAGGACCGGAGUGGACGAACCUCUGGUGUACCGGUUGUCACGCCAGUGGCAUUGCCGGGUAGCUAAGUUCGGAAGAGAUAACCGCUGAAAGCAUCUAAGCGGGAAACUUGCCU